AUGGCCAAGGGAAAGGGGAAGUCUGAUGGUGAUGGGUGCUCUCGUGAGAGGACUAUUUCCUGGGCUGAUGAUCAGACCAAGUUUAUGUUGGAUUGGUGCAUUGAAUACAUGAAGGAACAAUAUGCGGGAUUUAGGUUCAGGAAGCAUCAUCUUUUGAAGUGUGCUGAUGCUUUAAAUAGAAAAUUUGCUAUGGGGGUGACACUUGCUCAAGUUGAUCGUCACUUCAGGCACUACAAAGAAAAUUGGAAGUACAUUGCCGCCGCAAUUAGCAAGAGUGGCAAUGUUUUCGAUGAUAUUAGAUGUGUGGUAACUAUCUUCGAGUCUGAAAAGUCUUGCCUCAAUGAUAGAGCAAGGCGCUUGCUUUCUAAGCCCAUCAAGUUCUACUAUGAGAUGCAGGAGCUAUUCACAGGCACUAGUGCUGAUGGUUCUUUGGCCAUGGACCAACAUACAUGCACAAUUGAUUCCGAUGACUCGGACAAUGAUGAAGGGUUGUAUGAUCUCAACUGCUAUCCACAGUAUGAGGGCCCUCUUGAGGAGGAUUCUGACACUUUGCCAACAACACAUUGUCCUAAAAGACCUCCAGUACCUGUAGGUGGUGAUAAUUCAACAUCUAGCACUAGCCGAGUUGGUAAGAAGCGCCCAAGAGGUAGCAAGUCACCUACUAAGAAGCCACCAAGAACCAAGAGUCGUUUCGUGGAGACCACUGAAGAAAUCAACUCUACAUUGAGGUCACUCCAGCAAUCCCUUGCUGCCGCUCCUCCUCCAAUGCCCCAAGUUGUUGAUCCUUAUGCUAGUUUAUGGAAGAGGUUGGAGGAACUCCCAAUUACCACAGAUCAAAGAAUUACUGUUGGUGUGCACUUAUCUUGCAAGGACAAUGAAGGUUUGCGUGGUUGGUUAUGCAGUGCAAGUGAAAAAACUUUUGAAACUUGGGUUUGCAAGUUCUUUGCUGACAAAGAUCAUGUUUAUAGCAACAUGUGA
This 978-nucleotide ribosomal RNA is filed under the name Triticum aestivum (bread wheat). Its description in RNAcentral is "partial small subunit ribosomal RNA". The record is from RNAcentral. Lineage: Eukaryota; Viridiplantae; Streptophyta; Magnoliopsida; Poales; Poaceae.